Molecule: transfer RNA, 70 nt
Filed under: Trichonephila inaurata madagascariensis
Lineage: Eukaryota; Metazoa; Arthropoda; Arachnida; Araneae; Nephilidae
Description: tRNA-Arg
Rfam family: tRNA (bases 4-63)
About the family: Transfer RNA (tRNA) molecules are approximately 80 nucleotides in length. Their secondary structure includes four short double-helical elements and three loops (D, anti-codon, and T loops). Further hydrogen bonds mediate the characteristic L-shaped molecular structure. tRNAs have two regions of fundamental functional importance: the anti-codon, which is responsible for specific mRNA codon recognition, and the 3' end, to which the tRNAs corresponding amino acid is attached (by aminoacyl-tRNA synthetases). tRNAs cope with the degeneracy of the genetic code in two manners: having more than one tRNA (with a specific anti-codon) for a particular amino acid; and 'wobble' base-pairing, i.e. permitting non-standard base-pairing at the 3rd anti-codon position.
Source: RNAcentral
GUUGUAGUGCAAUGGAUAGCGCGUUGAACUUCUAAUACAAAGGUUGUGGUUUCGAAUUCCACCUGAGAUG